GUGGGGAAUUGUUCGCAAUGGACGCAAGUCUGACGACGCAACGCCGCGUGGAGGAUGAAGGUCUUCGGAUUGUAAACUCCUGUUGACCGGGACGAAUUCCUCUGGGGGUAAUAUCUCCGGAGGUUGACGGUACCGGUUGAGGAAGCCCCGGCUAACUCUGUGCCAGCAGCCGCGGUAAUACAGAGGGGGCGAGCGUUGUUCGGAAUUACUGGGCGUAAAGGGCGCGUAGGCGGCCAACUAAGUCAGACGUGAAAUCCCCCGGCUCAACCUGGGAACUGCGUCUGAUACUGAUUGGCUUGAAUCCGGGAGAGGGAUGUGGAAUUCCAGGUGUAGCGGUGAAAUGCGUAGAUAUCUGGAGGAACACCGGUGGCGAAGGCGGCAUCCUGGACCGGUAUUGACGCUGAUGCGCGAAAGCCAGGGGAGCAAACGGGAUUAGAUACCCCGGUAGUCC
Molecule: ribosomal RNA, 451 nt
Filed under: uncultured bacterium
Lineage: Bacteria
Description: bacterial SSU rRNA
Rfam family: Bacterial small subunit ribosomal RNA
Source: RNAcentral